RNAcentral lists this small nuclear RNA (26 nucleotides) under Arabidopsis thaliana (thale cress). RNAcentral's name for it is "snRNA_09711". Lineage: Eukaryota; Viridiplantae; Streptophyta; Magnoliopsida; Brassicales; Brassicaceae. The record is from RNAcentral.
GAGGAAAUGGGAUUCGAACCCAUGAU